GAGGAGGAUGGAGGAAGUUGUGGCCAGCUGGUAAAGCAGCGAGGAGGUUCUAUGGACAGGAAGGUGAAAGUGUCAGUCGCUCAGUCCUGUCUGACUUUUUGCGACCUCCUGGACUGUACCCUGCCAAGCUCCUCUGUCCCUGAAAUCCUCCAGGCAAGAAUGCUGGAGUGGGUAGCCAUUCGCUUCUCCAGGGGAUCUUCCCAACCCAGGGAUCUAACCCCGAGUCUCCUGCAUUGCUGGCAGAUUCUUUACUACCUCAGCCACCAGAGAAGCCCCACUAUGGCCAUGAGGCCCCUACUUUGAACUCUGUCGUCUUCCGAGAAGAAUAAGGACUCCUCUCUCUUGAUAAAAUUUGGUCCCAGCAACUAACAAUCUUUGCUGCUGCUGCUAAGUCGCUUCAGUCGUGUCCAACUCUGUGCGACCCCAUAGAUGGCAGCCCACCAGGCCCCGCCGUCCCUGGGAUUCUCCAGGCAAGCACACUGGAGUGGGUUGCCAUUUCCUCCUCCAAUGCAUGAAAGUGGAAAGUGAAAGUGAAGCCGCGCAGUCGUGUCCGACUCUUAGCGACCCCAACUCUUAGCGACCCCAUGGACUGCAGCCUACCAGGCUCCUCCAUCCGUCGGAUUUUCCAGGCAAGAGUACUGGAGUGGGGUGCCUUUAGUUGAGACUUAAAUAUCUGGGCACAAUCAUGAUGUCAUCUGUUGGUGAAGAGCAGGAUGGUUAAAAUUAUCCCAGGACAACUGAACUCCUAUUGCCUGCGGCAGGAGAACUUAGGAAGUAUUCAGAAGUGAUCAUGAUUGAGAUUGGCCAAGAUCAUGAUUGAGACUAAUAUGGGCGUACAUCCUCAAGUUCAGACCGGGACUUAAAAUGUCCAAGAGACUGGGAUGAAGUAGAGUUGGCUCCACUGGCCUGGAGUGGAUUCCUGGCUGAAGACCCAGGGCACUGACUUGAGUGGUGAGAUUUCCAAAAUAUAAAAGGAAACAGCAAUCGAGAAGGAGGAAAGAGAAUGGUUGUAUUCCAGACACCAAUCAUGAAGAUCUUGCUUGGCACAUGAAGAUGUCAGCAUGAUUUCAUGAAUGAAUGCAUGCUCUUCUCUUUUAUUCUCAUCUCUUCAUAUAUUUAUAUACUUCUGUUUAUCUCACCAUAAUUUGGUUUGCCCUACAAUAGCUGCAGGCCUGGGAAAACUCCAGUU
Molecule: long non-coding RNA, 1189 nt
Organism: Bos taurus (domestic cattle)
Lineage: Eukaryota; Metazoa; Chordata; Mammalia; Artiodactyla; Bovidae
Source: Ensembl